CCAAACCUGGUUGAUCCUGCCAGUAGUCACACGCUCGUCUCAAAGAUUAAGCCAUGCAUGUGCAAGUUUACAUACUAAACUUUGAAACUGCGAAUGGCUCAUUAUAUCAGUUAUAGUUUAUUUGGUAGUCUCUUACUACUUGGAUACCCGUAGUAAUUCUAGAGCUAAUACAUGCGUCAACACCCGACUUUUGGA
This 195-nucleotide ribosomal RNA is filed under the name uncultured eukaryote. RNAcentral describes it as "partial 18S ribosomal RNA". It matches the Rfam family "Eukaryotic small subunit ribosomal RNA", at positions 1 to 194 of the family's 1831-position model. The record is from RNAcentral.